UGGGGAAUCUUGCACAAUGGGGGAAACCCUGAUGCAGCGACGCCGCGUGAGCGAUGAAGCCCUUCGGGGUGUAAAGUUCUUUCGACAGGAACGAUAAUGACGGUACCUGGAGAAGAAGCUGCGGCUAACUACGUGCCAGCAGCCGCGGUAAUACGUAGGCAGCGAGCGUUGUUCGGAGUUACUGGGCGUAAAGAGUGCGUAGGCGGCGAGCCAAGUUUGGUGUGAAAUCUCCCGGCUUAACCGGGAGGGUGCGCCGAAAACUGGUUGGCUGGAGUAUGGGAGAGGAAAGCGGAAUUCCUGGUGUAGCGGUGAAAUGCGUAGAUAUCAGGAGGAACACCUGCGGUGUAGACAGCUUUCUGGACCAAAACUGACGCUGAGGCACGAAAGCGUGGGUAGCAAACA
This 402-nucleotide ribosomal RNA is filed under the name uncultured bacterium. Its description in RNAcentral is "bacterial SSU rRNA". It matches the Rfam family "Bacterial small subunit ribosomal RNA", at positions 355 to 774 of the family's 1533-position model. The record is from RNAcentral.